CCUACGGGAGACAGCAGUGGGGAAUAUUGGGCAAUGGGCGCAAGCCUGACCCAGCAACGCCGCGUGAAGGAAGAAGGCUUUCGGGUUGUAAACUUCUUUUCUCAGGGACGAAGCAAGUGACGGUACCUGAGGAAUAAGCCACGGCUAACUACGUGCCAGCAGCCGCGGUAAUACGUAGGUGGCAAGCGUUAUCCGGGUUUACUGGGUGUAAAGGGCGGGUAGGCGGGAAAGCAAGUCAGAUGUGAAAACCAUGGGCUCAACCUGUGGCCUGCAUUUGAAACUGUUUUUCUUGAGUACUGGAGAGGCAGACGGAAUUCCUAGUGUAGCGGUGAAAUGCGUAGAUAUUAGGAGGAACACCAGUGGCGAAGGCGGUCUGCUGGACAGCAACUGACGCUGAGGCGCGAAAGCGUGGGGAGCAAACAGGAUUAGAUACCCGGGUAGUC
RNAcentral lists this ribosomal RNA (443 nucleotides) under uncultured bacterium. RNAcentral's name for it is "partial 16S ribosomal RNA". It matches the Rfam family "Bacterial small subunit ribosomal RNA", at positions 338 to 795 of the family's 1533-position model. The record is from RNAcentral.